GGGGCUGUAAAGGUUUCGACGGGGUUUUUGAAAUAGAGUAAGCCACUGGUAGCGGGUAACUACCUAAAAAGAUCCAAUUAAAAAUAAACGCUAAAAAUAAUAAAUUAGCUUUAGCUGCCUAAGUUGCAGCUCGUCGGCCGGCAGAGGCCCGCUGCUGCCGCACCGGCGUCAUCAUUGCGGGAAACUCUGUACCCUAAGCUUUGCAGGCACAGAACAUUGAUGAAGCUACUCUGAUCGGAAGUCUGUCAUUGGGGAUCCGGGCAGGGGAAUCAAAAUUUCAAUGACUAUAGUGGAAGAAAGCUUUACGGAUGAGGUUUCGGACGGGGGUUCGAUUCCCCCCAGCUCCAUAA
This 350-nucleotide transfer-messenger RNA is filed under the name Lachnospiraceae. Its description in RNAcentral is "RGIG5612 sp017652745 Standard tmRNA". It matches the Rfam family "transfer-messenger RNA". From Rfam's summary of the family: Bacterial tmRNA, also known as 10Sa RNA or SsrA, is named for its dual tRNA and mRNA-like properties. The record is from RNAcentral. Lineage: Bacteria; Bacillati; Bacillota; Clostridia; Lachnospirales. RNAcentral also lists the same sequence under 1 other name.